GGCUGGCCCAAGUGCAGUGGUGUUUCUCUACUCCCACUGCUUGACUUGACUAGCCUUGA
Pongo abelii (Sumatran orangutan) is the source of this 59-nucleotide Y RNA. It matches the Rfam family "Y RNA". Rfam says of the family: Y RNAs are components of the Ro ribonucleoprotein particle (Ro RNP), in association with Ro60 and La proteins. NCBI's taxonomy places the organism in Eukaryota, Metazoa, Chordata, Mammalia, Primates, Hominidae. The record is from Ensembl.